UUUCUUUGGAGAUUAGCUAAACGGAUGCUGGCAACAUUUGAAUCCAUAGCUGAGAUUGCAAAUGGCGAUAAAAUGGGUUGAUAUAAAGUGGUAGGUCCUCCACUGCAACUUUCAACUCCAUUUUGAUGAGUAAAUGAAGCAAAAAUUGUGUUUUUCCUUUUGCUUUUCUUUAAUUUAUGGGUGGUUUACUUCAUGUGUAGUUUCUUGAUUUUGGGCGCUUAGGGUUUUAAUUUUGUUUGUUUAAUGUUCUGAAUUUUGAAUUGGAAUUUGGGUUAAAGGAAGGGCUUGAACAAUGUGGACAGUUGAAAAACAGAUCAUCAUAAGCUUCAAUUUUGUGUUUUUUUGGUAGAUGGCAAGAUCAUUGCAGUUAUUGAGUAACAAAUUCCACUAAUAAGAUUUGCGUAGGAU
Molecule: long non-coding RNA, 408 nt
Filed under: Salvia miltiorrhiza (redroot sage)
Lineage: Eukaryota; Viridiplantae; Streptophyta; Magnoliopsida; Lamiales; Lamiaceae
Description: long non-coding RNA (SMIL_LNC009434)
Source: RNAcentral